GGGCGUGGUUCAAUGGUAGAACACGAGCCUUCCAAGCUUGGGACGAGGGUUCGAUUCCCUUCGCCC
This 66-nucleotide transfer RNA is filed under the name bovine gut metagenome. It matches the Rfam family "tRNA". Rfam says of the family: Transfer RNA (tRNA) molecules are approximately 80 nucleotides in length. Their secondary structure includes four short double-helical elements and three loops (D, anti-codon, and T loops). The record is from RNAcentral.